UUUCCCUCAGGAUGGUUGGAACUCUUGUGGGGUAAAGCGAAUGAUUAAAGGCAUCGGGGGUGAAACACCCUCAAACCUAUUCUCAAACUUUAAAUAAGAGUUGCUAUGAGAAUAUUUUGAGAAUGUUUUAUGCCU
RNAcentral lists this non-coding RNA (135 nucleotides) under Selaginella moellendorffii. RNAcentral describes it as "rRNA LSU_rRNA_eukarya". It matches the Rfam family "Eukaryotic large subunit ribosomal RNA", at positions 967 to 1109 of the family's 3401-position model. The record is from Rfam by way of RNAcentral. Lineage: Eukaryota; Viridiplantae; Streptophyta; Lycopodiopsida; Selaginellales; Selaginellaceae.